Molecule: ribosomal RNA, 460 nt
Filed under: uncultured bacterium
Lineage: Bacteria
Description: partial 16S ribosomal RNA
Rfam family: Bacterial small subunit ribosomal RNA
Source: RNAcentral
CCUACGGGUGGCAGCAGUGAGGAAUAUUGGUCAAUGGACGAGAGUCUGAACCAGCCAAGUAGCGUGAAGGAUGACUGCCCUAUGGGUUGUAAACUUCUUUUAUAUGGGAAUAAAAUGUUCCACGUGUGGGAUUUUGUAUGUACCAUAUGAAUAAGGAUCGGCUAACUCCGUGCCAGCCGCCGCGGUAAUACGGAGGAUCCGAGCGUUAUCCGGAUUUUUUGGGUUUAAAGGGAGCGUAGGUGGAUUGUUAAGUCAGUUGUGAAAGUUUGCGGCUCAACCGUAAAAUUGCAAUUGAAACUGGCAGUCUUGAGUACAGUAGAGGUGGGCGGAAUGCGUGGUGUAGCGGUGAAAUGCUUAGAUAUCACGAAGAACUCCGAUUGCGAAGGCAGCUCACUGGACUGCAACUGACACUGAGGCUCGAAAGUGUGGGUAUCAAACAGGAUUAGAUACCCUGGUAGUC